GAAGCUCUUCGCGCCGCAGGCUGGUACAGGAGAGGAACCGCGUCAUGGCUGGUCGCUCCGCGGGAGCCGCCCAUCGCGCGUGGAAGCGCAUCCAUGUCGAGGCCGAAGGCCAUGGCUGCUUGGAGCGCCGCACUAUAUGAACAGCGUCCAAAGUAAUUUAGAGGUAUGAACAUGACGAACUGAAGAAAUACCAUGUGGGUGCUUCCGUUUCUUGGUUUGGAUUUUCAAUCCAUCGAUCGUGGGUGCCAAUUCUCAUGUUCCUUCUUUCUAUCUGUUCGUCUUUUUCUCUGCCGAUGUCUCGCCGAGUGCCAUCGAGGGCCACGCCUUGAGUUCGAGGUCGCGAGGAUGCGAGCCGACGCUGCGCGUACAGGCGCAGACGGCAGACGCGAGCGCCACCGCGACUGAUGUCGCCAUCCGCGUCGGGGUUUGCUGCUUCACCGCAAAACGCCGGAUAGCGCCGGUGCAGCCCACGGCCGAGAGUCGCGCGAGCGCCGCUGCGCUGCCCGUCUUUUCCUAUCGUUGGCCUAAUUGCUCUCGGUUAGGGCAAAGUGCUGAUAACGUGUGAAAGUAAAACGAGAGAGAGGAGCAAAUGAUGGAACAGUUACUUUCAUUGAUGAAGUUUGGGGUAUAUAUACCGGGAUACAAAGGCAGUUACAAAGAGCGGUUGCCAAUAGUGGAACUGACAUAAGCAGGGAUUAACCCUUUAAUUAAACUAAUUAAUUAAUUCGUAACAGUCUCGAUGGAUCCGGAGGCCAACGUGGAGGAGACGGCGCGAACCGAAGUCGGCACGCCAAUGUAAGAAAUCAACUCUGCUUCUCAAGCUUGACAUCAAAAAGGCGUCCGGCUCCAUGAGAUGAGACUACAUGCUUGAUAUUUUGCAGGGCCGGGGCUUUCCCUCGAAGUUCAGGGACUAGAUUGAUGUUCUCCUAUCUAUUGCAUCCUCUAGGGUAAUGCUUAAUGUCGUUAAUGACAUUCAUUAGCACCCAUUAGGCAUAAAUAAAACUUUUACGGUGAUUUUUCUUGGACCAGUAGACACCCAGAAGACUUGGGGAGAGGGCCAGAAGGUUCCCGAGGAGGCCACAAGCCUCUAGGGCGCGCCCUGAGGGCUUGUGGGCCUCAAGGGGGUCUCCUAACCCUAACUCCGCCUCUAUAAAUCCUAAAAUAUUCCCAAGCCAUUAGAAGCGUCCACCAAAAUACUUUUCCGCCACCGCAAUCUUCUGUUCUCGAGAGAUCCUAUCUUGGGGCCGUUUCCGGCGAUCUGCCGGAGGGGGAUUCGAUCACGGAGGGCUUCUACAUCAACCUUGCUGCCCUACCGAUGAUGUGUGAGUAGUUUAUCACAGACCUACGUAGCUAGUAGCUAGAUGGCAUUUUCUCCCUCUUUGACCUUCAAUAUAAUGUUCUCCUCGAUAUUCUUGGAGUUCUAUCCGAUGUAAUCUUCUUUUGUGGUGUGUUUGUUGAG
This 1459-nucleotide long non-coding RNA is filed under the name Triticum aestivum (bread wheat). RNAcentral describes it as "long non-coding RNA (TAES_LNC028507)". The record is from RNAcentral. Lineage: Eukaryota; Viridiplantae; Streptophyta; Magnoliopsida; Poales; Poaceae.